This 274-nucleotide ribosomal RNA is filed under the name uncultured bacterium. RNAcentral's name for it is "partial 16S ribosomal RNA". It matches the Rfam family "Bacterial small subunit ribosomal RNA", at positions 523 to 796 of the family's 1533-position model. The record is from RNAcentral.
AUACGGAGGGAGCAAGCGUUAUUCGGAAUCACUGGGCGUAAAGGACGCGUAGGCGGGUUUGUAAGUCAGGUGUGAAAUCCUACAGCUCAACUGUAGAACUGCACUUGAAACUACAGACCUAGAGUAUGGAAGGGGCAGAUGGAAUUAGUGGUGUAGGGGUAAAAUCCGUAGACAUCACUAGGAAUACCGAAAGCGAAGGCGAUCUGCUGGGACAUUACUGACGCUGAGGCGUGAAAGCGUGGGGAGCAAACAGGAUUAGAAACCCCAGUAGUCC